Molecule: non-coding RNA, 76 nt
Organism: Myotis lucifugus (little brown bat)
Lineage: Eukaryota; Metazoa; Chordata; Mammalia; Chiroptera; Vespertilionidae
Source: Rfam
UGCGGUUCUUGGGUGAUGCACCCCAAAAUCAGGCUCCCUCCUCUCUAGUUCCGGAGUGCAUCACCUGAGAACCCCC